AACACACAUACAAAACCCGCAAAGAAGAACAGUUUGCCAUGCCAGGACCUCAUCUCAUCUCAGUCCACAGAUAUACCAGAAUCCUAGGCUACUAUUGAGAACAAGGCAAAAUCCUCAAGAUAUAAUAAGUAACAAAGGAAUGAUCUGGAGCUUUCUGACUCGGGAAGGAUUGUAUGUGGAAAAAGUGACACCUAGGGGUGCAAUCCCUAAUAACAAGUGAGAGAUCAAAGAGAUGUCGCCAGGGCUGUCAGAGGACGACUGAGGGCAGUCCAAUUAAUCAGUGGCCAGAAGCUGAGGGUAUCCUUCUUCAGGGGCGGAGCCUGGAGCCCCACACCACACUCUGCUGCGGGUCCCAGUGCAAUCCUUGCCACCUUCCUUCUGAGUCCUCAACAGCCAGAGUAGACAGAGGCUGAGGGAAACCCUUUUGGAGUGACAGAUCCUUAAACAGCCAAACCUGGGAACCUGCACAUGUAUGUUUAGUAGAAUGGUGUCAAGUCUUAGAUGUAACUGAUGAAAACUUGCACAUAAAAAAGCAAGGGUGUAAAAAAAUUUUUUAAGUGAAAAUAUAAGGUACUUUUUUCUUUUUUUUAAAGUUAAGUGCAAAUAGCCCAUCUUGCUGUCAAAGGCUAUUUAGUCUAGCUCUGCCCACCAGACAAUAUACCAAAAAAAAACCCAUCUGGCAACAGGAAUAGUGGUGUGGAAAGUAAGGAUAGUGGAUCCACUCGAGUUUGAAUCCACUUUUACUGAUCCAGUUCUUUGCAUAUCACAGAUCAGAAGUUGGAAAUUCCGAAUAACCAAUCAGAUUACUUAAUAUAGGCCAUCCUCACAGGCUGAUCAUGCUCACCUGCCUUUGAUGUGUGCCAGGAGGUUAACAUCAACACACAUACAAAACCCGUGAAGAAGAACAGUUUGCCAUGCCAAGACCUCAUCUCAUCUCAGUCCACAGAUAUACCAGAAUCCUAGGCUACUAUUGAGAACGAGGCAAAAUCCUCAAGAUAUAAUAAGUAACAAAGGAAUGAUCUGGAGCUUUCUGACUAGGGAAGGAUUGUAUGUGGAAAAAGUGACACCUAGGGGUGCAAUCCCUAAUAACAAGGUCAA
Cyprinus carpio (common carp) is the source of this 1098-nucleotide long non-coding RNA. RefSeq lists it as uncharacterized. The record is from RefSeq and is a predicted model, not a curated record. The transcript has 5 exons. Lineage: Eukaryota; Metazoa; Chordata; Actinopteri; Cypriniformes; Cyprinidae.